This 86-nucleotide transfer RNA is filed under the name Bacteroidota bacterium. RNAcentral's name for it is "Bacteroidetes bacterium (marine metagenome) tRNA-Tyr". It matches the Rfam family "tRNA". From Rfam's summary of the family: Transfer RNA (tRNA) molecules are approximately 80 nucleotides in length. Their secondary structure includes four short double-helical elements and three loops (D, anti-codon, and T loops). The record is from RNAcentral. Lineage: Bacteria; Pseudomonadati; Bacteroidota.
GGGGGGAUGCCCGAGCGGCCAAAGGGAGCAGACUGUAAAUCUGCCGGCGUACGCCUUCGUAGGUUCGAAUCCUACUCCCCCCACGA